RNAcentral lists this ribosomal RNA (320 nucleotides) under uncultured Prevotella sp. RNAcentral describes it as "bacterial SSU rRNA". It matches the Rfam family "Bacterial small subunit ribosomal RNA", at positions 28 to 339 of the family's 1533-position model. The record is from RNAcentral. Lineage: Bacteria; Pseudomonadati; Bacteroidota; Bacteroidia; Bacteroidales; Prevotellaceae.
GAUGAACGCUAGCUACAGGCUUAACACAUGCAAGUCGAGGGGCAGCAUGAAGGAAGCUUGCUUCCUUUGAUGGCGACCGGCGCACGGGUGAGUAACGCGUAUCCAACCUUCCCCAUAGUAGGGGAUAGCCCGGCGAAAGUCGGAUUAAUACCCUAUGUUCUUCAUAGAUGGCAUCUGACGUGAAGCAAAGAUUCAUCGGUAUAGGAUGGGGAUGCGUCUGAUUAGGUUGUUGGCGGGGUAACGGCCCACCAAGCCAUCGAUCAGUAGGGGUUCUGAGAGGAAGGUCCCCCACAUUGGCACUGAGACACGGACCAAACUCC